UACAGAGGUCCCGAGCGUUGUUCGGAUUCACUGGGCGUAAAGGGUGCGUAGGUGGCGUGGUAAGUUUGAUGUGAAAGCUCAGGGCUUAACCCUGAAAUGGCAUUGAAUACUACUGUGCUGGAGGUUUGGAGGGGGGACUGGAAUUCUUGGUGUAGCAGUGAAAUGCGUAGAUAUCAAGAGGAACACCAGUGGCGAAGGCGAGUCCCUGGACAACACCUGACACUGAGGCACGAAAGCGUGGGGAGCAAACAGG
RNAcentral lists this ribosomal RNA (253 nucleotides) under uncultured bacterium. RNAcentral's name for it is "partial 16S ribosomal RNA". It matches the Rfam family "Bacterial small subunit ribosomal RNA", at positions 524 to 776 of the family's 1533-position model. The record is from RNAcentral.